This 455-nucleotide ribosomal RNA is filed under the name Cirolana harfordi. RNAcentral describes it as "partial 16S ribosomal RNA". It matches the Rfam family "Archaeal large subunit ribosomal RNA", at positions 1940 to 2666 of the family's 2987-position model. Lineage: Eukaryota; Metazoa; Arthropoda; Malacostraca; Isopoda; Cirolanidae. The record is from RNAcentral.
GAAGGUAGUCUCUGUCCAGUGAAGUUGGCUUAAAUGACUGCGGUAUAUUGACUGUGUGAUGGUAGCAUAAUAAUUUUUUUGUUAAUUGCAAGGUGGGAUGAAUGAGUUAACGCAAUGAGAUCUUUAUUUUGCUUUUAAAAAAAAUUAGUUUCAGGGUUAAAAACCCCUGGUGGUUUAGGGGGACGACAAGACCCUAGAAAUUUAUGUGUAAGAAUUUUUGUACUUUAGCUGGGGCGGCUUGAAUUUAAUCUAUUUUUGGGAAAACAAAUUGUUUGGGGAAGAUUUUAUGAUAUAACAUUGGUUUAUUUUUUAUAAAAAAAUUACUCUAGGGACAACAGCGUAAUUAUUUUGAAUAGACCGUAUUGAUAAUAUAGUUUGCGACCUCGAUGUUGAAUUAAAUAUUUUACUUCUGGGCAGAAAAAGGAGAGGAAGGUUUGUUCACCCUUUAAAUGUUA